UGGGGAAUCUUCCGCAAUGGACGAAAGUCUGACGGAGCAACGCCGCGUGUAUGAUGAAGGUCUUCGGAUUGUAAAGUACUGUCAUUGGGGAAGAACGGUUUUCUUGAAAAGAUUGAGAAGACAUGACGGUACCCAAGGAGGAAGCCCCAGCUAACUACGUGCCAGCAGCCGCGGUAAUACGUAGGGGGCAAGCGUUGUCCGGAAUUAUUGGGCGUAAAGGGCGCGUAGGCGGGCCUUUAAGUCCGGUGUGAAAGAUCAGGGCUCAACCCUGAGAGUGCAUCGGAAACUGGAGGCCUUGAGGACAGGAGAGGAAAGUGGAAUUCCACGUGUAGCGGUGAAAUGCGUAGAUAUGUGGAGGAACACCAGUGGCGAAGGCGACUUUCUGGACUGUAACUGACGCUGAGGCGCGAAAGCGUGGGGAGCAAACAGGAUUAGAUACCCUGGUAGUCCACGCCGUAAACGAUGAGUGCUAGGUGUGAGGGUAUCGACCCCUUCUGUGCCGGCAGUUUAAACACAAAUCAAAGNACUCCCCGGCCCUGGGGGAGUUACGGCCGCAAGGUUGAAACUCAAAUGAAUUGACGGGGGUCAUA
RNAcentral lists this ribosomal RNA (590 nucleotides) under uncultured bacterium. Its description in RNAcentral is "partial 16S ribosomal RNA". It matches the Rfam family "Bacterial small subunit ribosomal RNA", at positions 355 to 924 of the family's 1533-position model. The record is from RNAcentral.